Molecule: ribosomal RNA, 899 nt
Filed under: Pseudocercospora griseola
Lineage: Eukaryota; Fungi; Ascomycota; Dothideomycetes; Mycosphaerellales; Mycosphaerellaceae
Description: LSU rRNA
Rfam family: Eukaryotic large subunit ribosomal RNA
Source: RNAcentral
GCAUAUCAAUAAGCGGAGGAAAAAGAAACCAACAGGGAUUGCCCCUAGUAACGGCGAGUGAAGCGGCAACAGCUCAAAUUUGAAAUCUGGCGCAAGCCCGAGUUGUAAUUUGUAGAGGAUGCUUCUGGGCAGCGGCCGGUCUAAGUUCCUUGGAACAGGACGUCAUAGAGGGUGAGAAUCCCGUAUGUGACUGGCUUGCACCCUCCACGUAGCUCCUUCGACGAGUCGAGUUGUUUGGGAAUGCAGCUCUAAAUGGGAGGUAAAUUUCUUCUAAAGCUAAAUACCGGCCAGAGACCGAUAGCGCACAAGUAGAGUGAUCGAAAGAUGAAAAGCACUUUGGAAAGAGAGUUAAAAAGCACGUGAAAUUGUUGAAAGGGAAGCGCCCGCAACCAGACUUCGUGGCGGCGUUCGGCCGGUCUUCUGACCGGUUUACUCGCCGUCGCGAGGCCAUCAUCGUCUGGGACCGCCGGAUAAGACCUUAGGAAUGUGGCUCCCCUCGGGGAGUGUUAUAGCCUCUGGUGAUGCGGCGCGUCUCGGGCGAGGUCCGCGCCUCGGCAAGGAUGAUGGCGUAAUGGUUGUCGGCGGCCCGUCUUGAAACACGGACCAAGGAGUCUAACAUCUAUGCGAGUGUUCGGGUGUCAAACCCCUACGCGUAAUGAAAGUGAACGGAGGUGGGAACUUUUUGUGCACCAUCGACCGAUCCUGAUGUCCUCGGAUGGAUUUGAGUAAGAGCAUAGCUGUUGGGACCCGAAAGAUGGUGAACUAUGCCUGAAUAGGGUGAAGCCAGAGGAAACUCUGGUGGAGGCUCGCAGCGGUUCUGACGUGCAAAUCGAUCGUCAAAUUUGGGUAUAGGGGGCGAAAGACUAAUCGAACCAUCUAGUAGCUGGUUCCUGCCGAAG